This 497-nucleotide ribosomal RNA is filed under the name uncultured bacterium. RNAcentral describes it as "partial 16S ribosomal RNA". It matches the Rfam family "Bacterial small subunit ribosomal RNA", at positions 28 to 507 of the family's 1533-position model. The record is from RNAcentral.
GAUGAACGCUGGCGGCGUGCCUAAUACAUGCAAGUCGAGCGAACGGACGAGAAGCUUGCUUCUCUGAUGUUAGCGGCGGACGGGUGAGUAACACGUGGAUACCCUACCUAUAAGACUGGGAUAACUUCGGGAAACCGGAGCUAAUACCGGAUGAUAUUUUGAACCGCAUGGUUCAAAAGUGAAAGACGGUCUUGCUGUCACUUAUAGAUGGAUCCGCGCUGCAUUAGCUAGUUGGUAAGGUAACGGCUUACCAAGGCAACGAUGCAUAGCCGACCUGAGAGGGGGAUCGGCCACACUGGAACUGAGACACGGUCCUGACUCCUACGGGAGGCAGCAGUAGGGAAUCGUCCGCAAUGGGCGGAAGCCUGACGGAGCAACGCCGCGUGAGUGAUGAAGGUCUUCGGAUCGUAAAACUCUGUUAUUGGGGAAGAACAUAUGUGUAAGUAACUGUGCACAGCUUGACGGUACCUAAUCAGAAAGCAACGGCUAACUACGUG